This 556-nucleotide ribosomal RNA is filed under the name uncultured bacterium. Its description in RNAcentral is "partial 16S ribosomal RNA". It matches the Rfam family "Bacterial small subunit ribosomal RNA", at positions 355 to 900 of the family's 1533-position model. The record is from RNAcentral.
UAGGGAAUCUUCCACAAUGGACGAAAGUCUGAUGGAGCAACGCCGCGUGAGUGAUGAAGGGUUUCGGCUCGUAAAACUCUGUUGUUGGAGAAGAACAGGUGAUAGAGUAACUGUUAUCAUCUUGACGGUAUCCAACCAGAAAGCCACGGCUAACUACGUGCCAGCAGCCGCGGUAAUACGUAGGUGGCAAGCGUUGUCCGGAUUUAUUGGGCGUAAAGCGAGCGCAGGCGGUUUUUUAGGUCUGAUGUGAAAGCCUUCGGCUUAACCGGAGAAGGGCAUCGGAAACCGGGAGACUUGAGUGCAGAAGAGGACAGUGGAACUCCAUGUGUAGCGGUGAAAUGCGUAGAUAUAUGGAAGAACACCAGUGGCGAAGGCGGCUGUCUGGUCUGUAACUGACGCUGAGGCUCGAAAGCAUGGGUAGCGAACAGGAUUAGAUACCCUGGUAGUCCAUGCCGUAAAACGAUGAGUGCUAAGUGUUGGAGGGUUUCCGCCCUUCAGUGCUGCAGCUAACGCAUUAAGCACUCCGCCUGGGGGAGUACGACCGCAAGGUUGAAAC